GGUCCACCUUUGUCAGGUAUUCAUUUUCUCAGGCUAUAAAGUUCUGCAUUUCUCCGCCUCUUCCUCUCCUGGGCUCAGUAAGCAUGGUGGAAGCUCUCCACCCAAGCCUGGGGAGAGGUUAGAUUGGGUCUGGCCAGACUCUGACAUUAAUGAGAGCCAGAUGGCGUCUCUGCAAUCAGACAUUCCUCAGGCCUGCCUCACAGAAGUUCCCUGACCUUCAAACAGUUGCUCUGCAGCUACAGAGAGAUAACAACAUGAGCAGAAACCAGCCUUAUGGUUCUAGGGGAUGGUUGCCUGCUGCAAAAAUCCUACUCAGUGGGAACGGGGAGAGGCUGGCCAGCAUGCAGUGGCCCUCAGUGACCAGAAAACACGUUCAACAUCUGGAACGCUUUAACAGAGAAGAGUGUAAUGGCCAGCCACAUAGUCAUUGCUGUGCUCCAACAAUCAUCCUUAUUUAAGGAAGACAGUCUCGACAUCAUGUUCUCUUCUGCCUUUCUGAAAAUAUACAUUCUCUGUGGCCGUUGGAGUGCUUCCAGCCACUAAGUUGCAGAUGCUGCCAUGAAGCCAACCUGACUUCCCUGGGCAAACAACCUCACCAAUAUGUCCUGGAGCCCCACCUCUCUAGAGCUCAGCUCCACUAGGGAAAGACAGAAACAGGCUGUGAAUAUGGAUCAACCUGCCAACACACAUGUCCAGCAGAGAAGCAAUUAAAGAAGUCAGGCCUUCCAUCUUCUGCACCCCAUAAUGAUUCUGGGUCCACACUCCUAGAGGAAGCUCCAUCCAAUGGAGGGGAUGAGAUACAGAGUUCUGGUGGUGGGGAUUGUAUG
This is a long non-coding RNA of Erinaceus europaeus (western European hedgehog), 827 nucleotides long. RefSeq lists it as uncharacterized. NCBI's taxonomy places the organism in Eukaryota, Metazoa, Chordata, Mammalia, Eulipotyphla, Erinaceidae. The transcript is spliced from 3 exons. The record is from RefSeq and is a predicted model, not a curated record.